RNAcentral lists this ribosomal RNA (483 nucleotides) under uncultured bacterium. RNAcentral describes it as "bacterial SSU rRNA". It matches the Rfam family "Bacterial small subunit ribosomal RNA", at positions 28 to 526 of the family's 1533-position model. The record is from RNAcentral.
GACGAACGCUGGCGGCGUGCUUAACACAUGCAAGUCGAACGGUAAGGCCCCUUCGGGGGUACACGAGUGGCGAACGGGUGAGUAACACGUGAGCAACCUGCCCUUGACUCUGGGAUAACAGUUGGAAACAGCUGCUAAUACCGGAUGUUCACCUUUCCCUGCCUGGGGUUUGGUGGAAAGUUUUUCGGUCAAGGAUGGGCUCGCGGCCUAUCAGCUUGUUGGUGAGGUAAUGGCUCACCAAGGCUUCGACGGGUAGCCGGCCUGAGAGGGCGACCGGCCACACUGGGACUGAGAUACGGCCCAGACUCCUACGGGAGGCAGCAGUGGGGAAUAUUGCACAAUGGACGGAAGUCUGAUGCAGCAACGCCGCGUGCGGGAUGACGGCCUUCGGGUUGUAAACCGCUUUCAGUAGGGACGAAGCUUACGUGACGGUACCUACAGAAGAAGGACCGGCCAACUACGUGCCAGCCGCCGCCGUAAAAC